AUGAAAACGAUGUACCACAUGUGCCACACCAGCAUUCUAUCAACACUGCACACCUGUUUUUGUGAAUGCGUGUGGACAACAUCGGCAUCGAAAGAACGAUUUCCAAAGCAUAUUGAGAUUCCAAAAGCAACCAUAGGGAAUAAAGGAGAUAUAAAAGAUAAUCUAAUGCAAUGCCUUUCAAAUCGAGCUGCAAUGGCGAAUGUCGAGAUCAUGCCGCUUGGACAGAAUAAAGGCGUCGGGACGAGCACGACCGCUGAUGGCAUUGCCAUUUCAGCUGAAGCCGUGUAUGUGGAAAAAGAUCGAUGGUAA
RNAcentral lists this ribosomal RNA (309 nucleotides) under Triticum aestivum (bread wheat). RNAcentral's name for it is "partial small subunit ribosomal RNA". Lineage: Eukaryota; Viridiplantae; Streptophyta; Magnoliopsida; Poales; Poaceae. The record is from RNAcentral.